This is a long non-coding RNA of Pongo pygmaeus (Bornean orangutan), 343 nucleotides long. RefSeq lists it as uncharacterized. Lineage: Eukaryota; Metazoa; Chordata; Mammalia; Primates; Hominidae. The record is from RefSeq and is a predicted model, not a curated record. The transcript has 2 exons.
GCGAGGACCAGUCCGUGCUCGGAAAGGGAGGUGUCCUACGGGCCGCUGCAGGGGUCCCGGCCUUGAAAAGAAGCGUACCGGAGCUGCGCCUUGGGCUCUUGGGUAACGAAGCGCCCACCUGGAUUUAUAGGGGAUUUGGAAGCUCUCCUUCAAGUUGUCUCGCCUUACCGAAGUGAACCAAUGUUCAUCUUACACAUAUUGAUUGAUGUCUCAUGUCUCCCUAAAAUGUAUAAAAGCAAGAUGUACCCCAACCACCUUGGGCACAGGUCGGCAGGACCUCCUGAGGCUAUGUCAGGGUGCGUCCUUAACCUUGGCAAAAUAAACUUUCUAAAUUGAUUGAGAA